RNAcentral lists this ribosomal RNA (463 nucleotides) under uncultured Pelotomaculum sp. RNAcentral's name for it is "bacterial SSU rRNA". It matches the Rfam family "Bacterial small subunit ribosomal RNA", at positions 920 to 1382 of the family's 1533-position model. The record is from RNAcentral. Lineage: Bacteria; Bacillati; Bacillota; Clostridia; Eubacteriales; Desulfotomaculaceae.
CCCGCACAAGCAGCGGAGCGUGUGGUUAAUUCGAUGUUACACGAAGAACCUUACCAGGGCUUGACAUCCCCUGACCGCGUAUGAAAGUACGUUUUCACCCUCGGGUGACAGGGAGACAGGUGGUGCAUGGUUGUCGUCAGCUCGUGUCGUGAGAUGUUGGGUUAAGUCCCGCAACGAGCGCAACCCCUACGUUUAGUUGCUAACGCGUGAAGGCGAGCACUCUAGACGAACUGCCGUUGACAAAACGGAGGAAGGUGGGAUGACGUCAAAUCAUCAUGCCCCUUAUGUUCUGGGCUACACACGUGCUACAAUGGCCGGUACAGACGGACGCAAAGCCGCGAGGUGGAGCAAAUCCUAAAAAGCCGGUCUCAGUUCGGAUUGCAGGCUGCAAUUCGCCUGCAUGAAGUCGGAAUCGCUAGUAAUCGCAGGUCAGCAUACUGCGGUGAAUACGUUCCCGGGCCUU